CAUGGGACGAAAGUCUGACCGAGCAACGCCGCGUGAGUGAAGAAGGUUUUCGGAUCGUAAAACUCUGUUGUUAGAGAAGAACAAGGACGUUAGUAACUGAACGUCCCCUGACGGUAUCUAACCAGAAAGCCACGGCUAACUACGUGCCAGCAGCCGCGGUAAUACGUAGGUGGCAAGCGUUGUCCGGAUUUAUUGGGCGUAAAGCGAGCGCAGGCGGUUUCUUAAGUCUGAUGUGAAAGCCCCCGGCUCAACCGGGGAGGGUCAUUGGAAACUGGGAGACUUGAGUGCAGAAGAGGAGAGUGGAAUUCCAUGUGUAGCGGUGAAAUGCGUAGAUAUAUGGAGGAACACCAGUGGCGAAGGCGGCUCUCUGGUCUGUAACUGACGCUGAGGCUCGAAAGCGUGGGGAGCAAACAGGAUUAGAUACCCUGGUAGUCCCAA
This 438-nucleotide ribosomal RNA is filed under the name Enterococcus faecalis. RNAcentral describes it as "bacterial SSU rRNA". It matches the Rfam family "Bacterial small subunit ribosomal RNA", at positions 369 to 798 of the family's 1533-position model. The record is from RNAcentral. Lineage: Bacteria; Bacillati; Bacillota; Bacilli; Lactobacillales; Enterococcaceae.